This 57-nucleotide transfer RNA is filed under the name Mesocricetus auratus (golden hamster). Lineage: Eukaryota; Metazoa; Chordata; Mammalia; Rodentia; Cricetidae. The record is from Rfam by way of RNAcentral.
GGCUCAGCGGUUAAGAGCACUGGCCACUCUUCCAGAGGACCUGGGUUCAAUUCCCAG